GCGCGGUUAGCUCAGUUGGUUAGAGCGCUACCUUGACACGGUAGAGGUCACAGGUUCGAAUCCUGUAUCGCGCACCA
This 77-nucleotide transfer RNA is filed under the name Nocardiopsis gilva. RNAcentral's name for it is "tRNA-Val(gac)". It matches the Rfam family "tRNA". Rfam says of the family: Transfer RNA (tRNA) molecules are approximately 80 nucleotides in length. RNAcentral also lists the same sequence under 1 other name. The record is from RNAcentral. Lineage: Bacteria; Bacillati; Actinomycetota; Actinomycetes; Streptosporangiales; Nocardiopsidaceae.